RNAcentral lists this ribosomal RNA (567 nucleotides) under uncultured Glomeromycotina. Its description in RNAcentral is "SSU rRNA". It matches the Rfam family "Eukaryotic small subunit ribosomal RNA", at positions 548 to 1114 of the family's 1831-position model. The record is from RNAcentral. Lineage: Eukaryota; Fungi; Glomeromycota.
UUGGAGGGCAAGUCUGGUGCCAGCAGCCGCGGUAAUUCCAGCUCCAAUAGCGUAUAUUAAAGUUGUUGCAGUUAAAAAGCUCGUAGUUGAAUUUCGGGGUCAAUAAGUUGGUCGUGCCAAUGGUAUGUACUGGCUUUAUUGAUUCCUACCUCUUGACGAACUGUGAUGCCAUUAAUUUGGUGUUGCAGGAAAUCAGGACUGUUACCUUGAAAAAAUUAGAGUGUUUAAAGCAGGCUUACGCUUGAAUGCAUUAGCAUGGAAUAAUGAAAUAGGACGUUUGAACCUAUUUUGUUGGUUUCUAGGAUCGACGUAAUGAUUAAUAGGGAUAGUUGGGGGCAUUAGUAUUCAAUUGUCAGAGGUGAAAUUCUUGGAUUUAUUGAAGACUAACUACUGCGAAAGCAUUUGCCAAGGAUGUUUUCAUUAAUCAAAAACGAAAGUUAGGGGAUCGAAGACGAUCAGAUACCGUCGUAGUCUUAACCAUAAACUAUGCCGACUAGGGAUCGGAUGAUGUUAAUUCUUUUUAAUGACUCAUUCGGCGCCUUACGGGAAACCAAAGUGUUUGGGUUC